This 138-nucleotide microRNA precursor is filed under the name Hordeum vulgare. RNAcentral's name for it is "microRNA MIR1122". It matches the Rfam family "MIR1120/MIR1122 microRNA precursor family". Lineage: Eukaryota; Viridiplantae; Streptophyta; Magnoliopsida; Poales; Poaceae. The record is from RNAcentral.
AUGAUACUCUCUCCGUCCCAAAAUUCUUGUCUUAGCUUUGUCUAGAAAUGGAUGUAUCUAAUUAAUAAUAAAUUUGACUAGAUACAUUCUUAUCUAAACAAAUAUAAGACAAGAAUUUUGGGAUGGAGGGAGUACUUU